This is a non-coding RNA of Acanthosepion pharaonis, 91 nucleotides long. The record is from the annotation of a GenBank genome assembly. Lineage: Eukaryota; Metazoa; Mollusca; Cephalopoda; Sepiida; Sepiidae.
UAUGGCUAUAUCACGUUGAAACACCGGUUCUCGUACGAUCAGCGAAGUUAAGUAACGUCGAACCUGGUCAGUACCUAGAUGGGUGACCGCU